This 76-nucleotide transfer RNA is filed under the name Candidatus Omnitrophota bacterium. RNAcentral describes it as "tRNA-Gln". It matches the Rfam family "tRNA". From Rfam's summary of the family: Transfer RNA (tRNA) molecules are approximately 80 nucleotides in length. Their secondary structure includes four short double-helical elements and three loops (D, anti-codon, and T loops). Further hydrogen bonds mediate the characteristic L-shaped molecular structure. tRNAs have two regions of fundamental functional importance: the anti-codon, which is responsible for specific mRNA codon recognition, and the 3' end, to which the tRNAs corresponding amino acid is attached (by aminoacyl-tRNA synthetases). tRNAs cope with the degeneracy of the genetic code in two manners: having more than one tRNA (with a specific anti-codon) for a particular amino acid; and 'wobble' base-pairing, i.e. permitting non-standard base-pairing at the 3rd anti-codon position. Lineage: Bacteria; Pseudomonadati; Candidatus Omnitrophota. RNAcentral also lists the same sequence under 1 other name. The record is from RNAcentral.
GGCCCUGUGGUGUAACUGGCAAGCACACGACUCUUUGAAAGUCAAGGACAGAGAUCAUACCUCUGCGGGGCUACCA